This 497-nucleotide ribosomal RNA is filed under the name uncultured bacterium. Its description in RNAcentral is "partial 16S ribosomal RNA". It matches the Rfam family "Bacterial small subunit ribosomal RNA", at positions 28 to 507 of the family's 1533-position model. The record is from RNAcentral.
GAUGAACGCUGGCGGCGUGCCUAAUACAUGCAAGUCGAGCGAACGGACGAGAAGCUUGCUUCUCUGAUGUUAGCGGCGGACGGGUGAGUAACACGUGGAUAACCUACCUAUAAGACUGGGAUAACUUCGGGAAACCGGAGCUAAUACCGGAUAAUAUUUUGAACCGCAUGGUUCAAAAGUGAAAGACGGUCUUGCUGUCACUUAUAGAUGGAUCCGCGCUGCAUUAGCUAGUUGGUAAGGUAACGGCUUACCAAGGCAACGAUGCAUAGCCGACCUGAGAGGGUGAUCGGCCACACUGGAACUGAGACACGGUCCAGACUCCUACGGGAGGCAGCAGUAGGGAAUCUUCCGCAAUGGGCGAAAGCCUGACGGAGCAACGCCGCGUGAGUGAUAAAGGUCUUCGGAUCGUAAAACUCUGUUAUUAGGGAAGAACAUAUGUGUAAGUAACUGUGCACAUCUUGACGGUACCUAAUCAGAAAGCCACGGCUAACUACGUG